RNAcentral lists this transfer RNA (74 nucleotides) under Bacteroidales bacterium. Its description in RNAcentral is "tRNA-Thr". It matches the Rfam family "tRNA". Rfam says of the family: Transfer RNA (tRNA) molecules are approximately 80 nucleotides in length. Their secondary structure includes four short double-helical elements and three loops (D, anti-codon, and T loops). RNAcentral also lists the same sequence under 1 other name. The record is from RNAcentral. Lineage: Bacteria; Pseudomonadati; Bacteroidota; Bacteroidia; Bacteroidales.
GCCUUUUUAGCUCAGUUGGUUAGAGCGGCUCAUUCGUAAUGAGCAGGUCGCGGGUUCGAGUCCCGUGAAAGGCU